UGCUGUUUUCUAAGAACAUUUCUGAUUGUAUUUACAUCAAAAAUAGUUUUUUUUUGCAGUCAAAUUGUAUAAUUUAUAGAAAAAAAAUACGAAUUUGAAAUAUGUACAAAAAUUAGUUUUUCAAAAAAUUCCAAAAUAAUGUUUAUUUUGUGGCAAGUUUGCAAUGUUUUUCAAUAACUGCUCCGCAUAGCAAGUUCGUCCCAAACCCAAAUUUUCACCAGCAUUGAGUUUCUUAGCGGAAAUGGUAGCUAGUUUCGCUAGAGUUCACCAAAUAUUUCUUCAAAAAGACUAGCUGAAAUGAAAAUCUAUUUGAAAAACUGAAGAAUUAGAACUGUGUGCCACUUAUUUUAUCCUCAAUAUGUUUAUUCAAAUAACUAGUAAUGUUAGUAAGAUUAUACAGUGAAUCUUAUUUUGCAUUGCUCUUAGAAAUUGAAACAGUUUCUAUAUGAUGAUGGUCCCACCUCAUACCCCUACAUCGGUUUGAGCUGGUCGAUUUAUCUAAAAAAGAUAUUAUUUAAAGACAUACAAUGUAACCAGCAGGCAAACAAAUAACGGACUGGUUAUUAAUACAGACAUAGUAACCCUUCAAAAGAAUACCAAUAAUUCGAAAAUUAAAAAAAAACGAUUUUCCAAUAACAUCAUUGAUCCAAGGCUCAUCCAAAACGUUUCCAACCCGAAAAUUAUCUGGAUUUGGUUAGGAAUCGAACCUAACAUUUAGGAGCUUUAACUAAUCAGAAUUGGUUCUGUAUAACGAUCCAAAACUACGAGAGAGAUCCUAUGAUACUAUAGUUAUCGAUAACGAGCUAUACAGUCCACAGGCAAACCCAAGCCUGUUCAGUUUUUUCUCCCAACCCUUUGUUCUAAAUCGUGAAAACAGAUAAAUAUUAAAAAUCUUAAUGAAAAUAUAUAUAUAAUAUUACAAACCAAAAAAGCAACUUAUCAACCCGAUAUGCCUUUUGUUUCAAUAUUUAUCCAUCCAUUUAUCCAAUAUUUAUCCAAAUCCAUCAUCAUCAAUGAACAUAAUAACUUAGUGUACCAGAUAAAUUUGAAAAAAAAAUAUACUUAAAUAUUACAAUCUUCUUUAUUAAUUAACAAAAAAUUCGUUAAAAUCUGUCUACAAAACAGAUUUCAUGUGUGAAAUACAAAGCCUUUUAAACUCCGCCAUUGUUGCUGCACGUUUCACUUGUCUGGGCAUCGAAUUGAAAAAGUUAAUUCCUUUAUACAACAGAGAGCUCUGUGAUCUACUAAAUAAAAAGUGUGGUGUUCUAGCGUCUUCCGCGUUUCUAGUGUUGUACCUAUGGAAAUCACUUCCCCUAUCAAUUCGAUCACACAAAUAUCGAGGCAGCAUAUAAUUAAAAAUUUUAUAAAGGAACACCAUUGUCAAAAAAUAUACUCGUUGCUUCACAGAAAGCCAUUGCAACGCGUCCAGCAUGAAACUCGAGGAAGUGUAUCUAUAACAUCUUAAUAUUAAUCGCAUUACUUUAUUUUGUAACCGCUGUAAUCUCAAUAUUUGUGUAUUAUUUGCAAGGAAUAAGAUGGAUAAGCAAAAGUCUAUAUGUGGUGAAAUGAUUGACUUAUACAACAAAAUUUUACUACUAACAGUCAAUUCAUUUUUUAAACGGCACAGAAUACCGUAUUUUUUAGCCAUUUUUCUGAUGACGUUGUCAAUGUGAGACUUGAAAGUUAACUUGUCAUCAAUGAUUACUCCAAGAUAUUUUAACUCAUUCACGCGAUCAAUCGUCUCACCAUUAAUUGCAAUAUUUACGUCUGGUCUGGAGUUGGCCGAAGAAAUAAUUAAAUAUUUUGUUUUGCUAAUGUUUAGCUUAAGUUGUUUAAAAUUUAACCAAUUCGCCAGAUAAUGUAAGUCUUGGUUUAAAAGUGUUUCAACAUCAUUUGGAUUUUUAUCCGCAAUGAACAGAACAGUGUCGUCGGCAAAUAAAUUUACAUCAAACAACAAAAUGGGCCCUAAAACACUUCCUUGCGGUACACCCAGUGUAUUAGCAAUGGAAGCUGAUUCAGAAUCAUAAAAACGAGUCUUCUGAGUUCUAGCACACAAAUAGCUUUAAAACCAUUUAUAUGCUGUCCCUACGAUACCAAAGCGCUUUAAUGUUUGCAACAAUAAGGGCCUAGAAAUUGUUUCAAAAGCGCGUUUUAGAUCCAGAAACACCGCAAAAAUAGUUUCUUCAGCCUCGAUUUUCUCUUUCCAUUUUGCUAACACCAAAUUCAAUGCAGACUCACAAGAGUGUCCCUCUCGAUAACCUGAUUGUUCUGGGAUCAGCAAAUCAUUACUGUUUAUUUAAACAUUAGCUAAAUGCAUUAGCUGGCCUUUAUCAAUUAGCUCCAAAAUUUUCUCUAAUGUGUGCAGUAUAUUAAUGGGACGGAACUCUUCGGCUUUAUCCGUCCCAGUAAUUUUGGGGAUAGGAGCCACAAGAGAUUCCUUCCAAACUUCAGGCACGUGUCCUGUUUGUAAAGAUUCGUUAACAAGGUCCAGCAGGUCGUGUCCAAUUACAUGAAAGCAAUCUUGUAUUACUUUUGCGUUGACAUUGUCGAUACCAGCCGAUCUCUUCAAAGAGAAACAAAUAUCUUUCAACUCUGCAAAAGUAAUAGGAUGAAAACCAUCAAAUCUACAGUUAUUAUGGAUCGGCUGUAUUAUCUCGUCAGGUUCAUUGACCACAUCAAUACUUUGAUUGAUCGGUUGAACACUUUCAACGAAAUAACUGUUAAAUUUAUUUGCAAUAACUCGCGCGGAGUUUUCCUCAAUACCAUUGAAAGUUAUGCACUGUGCUAAUGUACUAUUACUUUUCAUUAAUUUUUUUAAAGUUUUCCAUAACUCUUUGCUGUUAUUUUGAUGUUGAUCGAUCUUCCGUUGUAUAUAUGCACAUCUAACCUUUUUCAAGGUGCGUGAAUAUAUGUUUCGCGCCGCGGUGUUCCAAUCAUCGUUAUCAUUACUUCUACAAUUUUUUUUAUAACAUUUAUCUCUUCUACGUUUUAAACGCACAAGAUCUAAAGAGUACCAGCUGUUCGAAUUUUGUAACUCAACAAAUUUUUCAGAAACUAGAUUCUUGGUACAGUCUUCCAACGUUUUGGUUAGAACAGCUGCUUUAUUGUCCAAAUCUCCAGUUAUUGGAUGAAAAUUCAAACUUCUUGAAACAAGCUGAGACAUUGCUUGUUUCGAAUAACUAUUCCAGCACUUUAUUUUUACUUUAUCCUCUCGGUUUUGAUCGUUUUCAAUUGAAAUACAAAUUGUCUCAUGGUCUGUUAUUUUAUAAUCGGCCUCUGUGAAGGAAUUAACAUUAUCAAAAUUGGAGAACACAUGAUCAAUCAAGGUACUAGAGUGUCUGGAAAUUCUUGUAAAUUGAAAAACUGUUUGUCUUAGAUUGAAAAAACCGACUAAUUGCUUUAAUUGAUUCGAGUUCGAUCCACCAAGCCAAUCAAUAUUGAAAUCACCAGCAAUUACGUUUAAUUUAUUCAAAUCAACAAAAUUUUCUCACCAGUUAUCUAAAAUUUCCAAAAAACGCUGGUCACUCGAACUGGGGGAAUGGUAGACUAUUCCAAAAUUUCCCAUCGUCAUGCCUCUCUGAUCGAUAUUCCCAGGAACCAAUUGUUUUCGACAGAUUCGUUUGAUAGAAUGUUGAACUUGACUGAUUCCUUGGCGUAAAUAGCAACCCCACCAGUAUGUCUGGAAUGUGAAAGGCAAAAAGCAACUUUAUAACCCGGAAUACUAUAUUGAUCAAAUGCAUCAGCUUCCACUAUGUGAGUUUCAGCCAGCAAUACUAACAUUGGUCGUUUUUUUUCACAAGAUGCCGCAAAGCAACAUAAUUCGUGGAUAAACCAGCAAUAUUAAGAUAAACUAUUUCUAAUUUCCUCUCACAUUGCAUUUUCUUCAGCUGCUAUUUACUUGACAACAUGUUGCUUUUUCUUUUUUCAAACAGUCUCCGAAAAACUGGACACUGCGAACUUGAUGCUGGAUGUUUCGCGUCCAAAUUCAUUUUCAACUCAUUAUUAUGUUUUAAACAAUUUACGCAUUUAUAAUCAGUAGAAGCGCAUUCCGAUGUUUUGUGCUUUUCACUGCAUUUAGAGCAUGUCUCAGGAUUAACACACUCUGUGCUUUUAUGACCAAAUUCGCCACAUUUAAAGCAACGCAAUACAUUUAUGGCCUCUCGUACAAAACACUUGUCCCACCCAAUGCUUACUUUUCUAGCAUUCAUUAGGCAGUUAUAAGUGUCUAGAUCAACUUCGAUUAUCACGUUAAACUUGUUAUAUUUGAAGCGUGAAUUUUCAUACUCGGCAAUAACCUUUACUCCUUUAAAGCCGAUGCUAUCAUUCUGACUUUUCAACAAGUCUAUGAAUUCAUCGGAGGAAUAUCGAUCACUCAUUCCCACAAUCUUCAACUUAGGCUUCGCGAUUGUGGGAAUAACAGCAUUAUAUCGUUCACCCAGGUUGCUUUCAAUGUCUUUUUUAACAACCUCAACAUUAUCCCCUACUGCACACUCUGCAAUUAUCGAGCCAUUCUUACCGUUUCUAAAGUUCCUGAUUUUGUGGAUUUUUGGAUCUAAAGUUUUUUUCAAAAAACAUCUAGUAUCUUCACUAGAUUGAGAAGUCUCGACCGGUUUGAUCACAAUGACCGGCCGAGCCUUACGGUUUUCCUUUUUCUGUAAUUUAUUUGAUAUACUCCCAGUCGAACUCGCUAAAACAUUCGCGUAUGUUGGUAAACUUUCCGAAAAAACCUCGUCAUCACGUACUAGUAACAUCUUUUUACUGGGGUUAGAGUCCAAUCUCAUUUCGACUCCUUUUUCUGUUCAUUGGACCAUUAUUUCUAUCGCGAUCGGUAUUUAAGACUAUUUGGUUUUUGAAAUCAUCCAGCUUUCUGGCAACACUGUUUACCAGACUCUCACGAAGAGAAUCGCUGACAGAUUUCAAAAUAGUCUCGAUCGCGUUAGAAACAGCAACAUUUAUCUGGGUUUCAAUUUUGUAAGGCAUCUCUCAUCUUUGUCAACUAACUCAAAACAUCAUCUUUCCCACCGUCAUCACAGGCUGAUAAACACAAAACACAUUUAAACACAAUAUUAUCAUUAUCAUUAACGACUUUCGCUGCUAUUUUCGUGAGGGGCGGGCAAACUCUGUGGAACUGAGAUUUGCAUUUACCAACGCAAACAACCGGAUCGUCGCUAAUGCGAAUGAUAUUACCACAUUUGCCACAAUCCAUCUUCCCGCUGCAAACAAGCCGAAGCUGCUGCAGACCAAUACGCUGGACUCGUCCAGCAGCAACGGAGGGUAAAGGCAAAUGAACAAUGAAAAAACACAACAAUGAAAUUUCAAUCAGCAGCCGUAGCGUCUAUAUAACAUAGAUGCGUUGGUCGGCGCUGGUAUAAAAUAAAUCGAUAAAAAACAGAAUAAAUUAAAAGCAUUCAAAGACACUUUUACUUAUCCGUUGAGAUAUCCAAUUAUGCCGUCGGAUCACUAGCACUAGAUCACCAAAAGCACUUGAUUUCACACAAAAUAAAAUAGCUUUUAAAUCAGCACACUAGUGGUACACAAGCUACCAUGCUCACCGUCAUCACUUGCACUAUUGUACAAAUGAGAAUUUAUGUUUGAUUCUCUCACUAAAAACGUUUUCGGUUUUUAUGCUAUUCUAAGACAUUUGGUGUCAACAUUUAUUUUAUUUGAAAAGCAGGACUGAUAAAAGUGGUCAGCUGGUCAGCGGGUCAAAAAAGUAAGUUUAGUGACUUUUUGAUUAAAAAAUUGACUGCUGAAAAUGUGACUUUUAAGGGACCAACUUGCAGUCUUGCACUUCCAACUUCUCUAUCAUUUGUAAUUGCAUCAUACACAAUACUACGAAAAAAUCUUGGUAACAAAAUCCCGAUUGAAUAAAAAAAUUCCCGACUUUUUCCCGCAUUUUUCCCGAUGUAAUUCAAUUCCCGACUUUUUCCCGCAUUUCCCGUUUUCCCGAUUGAGUGGCCACCCUGAUUAAGGCCCGAAUACACACACGACGCAAUGACACCUUUUCCAUACAAAAUAGAAGGCGUGAUCGCUAUACCGCCUUCCAUUUUGUAUGGAGAAGGCGCCAUUACGCCGUGUGUGUAUUUGGGCGUUUGAAACAUCUGAUUUUGACACACUUUUUUGGACAUUUAACCGUAAUUUCUAAGAAAUUUUAAAAACAGUUUUUUUGGCAUUUUUUAAAUUAUAUUAAGAUAGUUUUUAAAUAUUUGAAAACUUUUCUGAGCUGUUUUGAUACACUUUUGAAACAUUAUUAAAAUACUUAGGGGCAGUUUUGAAAUCUUUCUGAAACCUUUUGUAGACAUCAUGAAAACAUAUGAAAAACAACAGCACCAUUUUUGAACAUUUUAAAGACAUUUUCGAAUCAUUUCUGGAACAUUAGAAGAGUAUAGAGACAAGCUUAUUUUAAUAAGAGGAAAACCAAAGUAUUUGGAAAAGAACUUUCAGGCGGUUUUCGAGACAUUUGUUUUAAAAACUUUCGACUUACAUUGAAAAUAUUUUUGGGUUAUUUUUGCAGUAUUUUUGAAAUCUUCCUUGAGGAAGAGUAUUGAUCCAUUUUUGAAACUACAUAUGUUUAUGUUUUUCUAUGCCUGGGUUUAUUCUCAGGGUUCUUUCGAUCCCCCUACUUGACAUUUUCCUCACAAUAAAUUACAAAAAAGAUUCACACACAAUUGAAUAUCCGUCGAAAUUCGGCAGGGUAACUUAGCUCGGUAAAGGAAAGCAGUGAAGUCUAUAUAUAGGUGUGUAGAGAGAAGGGUAAAAGUAUAAACAUCCGUCACUAAUCACAGUGACAAAAGUUACCUUCCUUUCCCUUAAGGUCAUUAGAGAUUCAGAGGUAUUCCCUGACCGACCGUAAGGACGUAGCCGGCGUCAUUAUCGAUCUAUACAAAGCGGAAGCUACCGAAUUGUUUCACAUUGAGGAUGGUAAAUUAAUCCCAGAUUAGUCAUCUUACGGCGGUUUUUCGUGCAACUUCUCUGAGAUAUUUUAGAACAUUAGGGACAUUUUUUAAUCUCUUCUAAAUUAUUCUGAGGACAUUUUUGAGACAUUUCUACGACAGUUUUUCAAAACAUUUCUGGAACAUUCUUGAAAUCUCACUAACAAAUUUUAGAAAUACUCUAAGAAGAAUUGUGGAAAAAUUUGAAACAUUUUUAAUACACUUAAGAGGUCAUGAUUACCGAACAGUUUUGAGCAAAGUGAACAAAUUUUUAGGACAUCUUUAAGAUAAUUUUGACACGUUUUGAAGUUAUUUUAGGAUUUUCAAGAUAUUAGUUGCGCGAUUGAUAACGAAUUUCUUUAUUCCACUGCAUUCGGGCAAAUCUGCCGAGGAAUAAAGAAACGAUAUCGCAAUUUACGAAGCAAGUGAGAAAGAGAUGCCAGAUAAUUUUUUACCAACUAAGCACGUGCGGUGGCGGGUUGAAGCUGACAAAUUUUACAGUGCGCUUCGGGCAGUACGCCAGGUCAAUACUGGGUCAAAUUCGAGCGAAUAAAGAAGGGUUUUGACAGCAGUUAGGUUGCUUUCAGGUCAAAACGAGGUGAGCUGGUGGAAUAAAGAAAUUCGCUUGAAGUUCUCACUGUUCGUACCAGCAGUAAGUGUCAAUUUAACAUAUCUAAAACGAGAUGAACUGAAAAGUUGUAAACAAACCGUUUCGAAAGAUUUUAUUGUUGCCUCAUAUAAAAAUCUCCGGUUUAAUAUCAAAUAAUCGUCAUUUGCGGGAAUUGUAACUGUUCUCGCUCUAUUUAAAACGCAUCGGGAGUCAAAAAUAGUAGGAUUGUAUCCAAGACACAACCGCAUAACUGACGUAGAACUACGCACAUUAACAACAAAUGCAAAGUCUACUAUUGCUUGCUCAAAUCAAGAAUCUCUUCACUGCUUGUUAAGUUACCCUGAUGAGGGCAGCUUGCUGUUCAAAAUUAAAAGAUGAUGCUGAUCGCAGCCUUUGUUCUGCCCAACAGUGGGGGAAUAAGGCACUCUGACAAACACACACACUGAAAAAGCUGCAUCGCACGAAGAAGGCCGAAGCCCUCAACUGGCAAAUCGAGACGUUUGCUGCUUUCGCGCUGCUGCUGAUAUGUGACCAAUCAAGUAAGUGAUUCGUUUAAGCCGAAAGCAAAUCCGGAAAGCCAGCAGAUACUGGUGCAAACCGUUGCUGCUACUGCUACAACCCACUACGCUACGGCUAAUACAGGACCAAGCGUUCGUCCCAUCAUUCAAGGCACUCUGACAAUCACACUGCAAAAGCUGUUUGCACACUUAGUAAGUUGAUCCAGCAUAGAGAAUGUGUUGUUGCCAAAAUAAAGCAAAGCUUAAUCGUGGGGAAGAAGGCCGAAUCGACAAAUCGAAACGUUUGCUGCUAUCACGCUGAUUCGUUUAAGCCGAAAGCAUAUUCGGAAAGUCAGCUGCUACUGCCGCAAUCCGCUACGCUGCGACUAACUAGAUAUGCUAUUCUGUCGACCUCUUGAGGGAAAGCCAGCAAUCAAGGACGUAAUUUUAGUUUCCACAAGGCUUGACAAUUUUGGGCGCAUGCGUGUAUUAUUUUCUAAUCGAUUGCUGUAAGACUGAAAAAAAUCGGUUGAAAACAAACCGAUUUAUAAGGAUUUGAAAAGGGGCAAAUUUCGUCCCCUUCUCGUCAAUAGAUUUCCAAUUUCGUAGGUAGGCUAAAAAAAAACGUAGUUCCCAAAAACUUCGUAGACCCAGGAACGCAGUUAUACUGGAGUUGUCCGCCAAGCCAUUUUCAAGCGACUGCAUGCUAUGGGAAUGUAUCAAAAACAAGGCACUUGAGUUCCUUAUGACUUGAAGCCAAGAAAUGUUGAGCGUUGUUUUUCCACCUGUGAUCUACUGCUCCAGCGGUAAAAAAGGAAGGGGUUUCUUCAUCGUAUCGUGAAGGGUGAUGAAUAAUAGAUUCGUUACAGUAACCUAAAGAAAACAAAGUCUUGGGACUGCCCGGUUAUGCUUCUACGCCACCGAUUCGGCCGAAUAUACACGCUAUGAAUACUUUGUAUUUGGUAGGACCAGAUCAGUGUUAUUUAUUAUGAGCUAUUGAAAUAGAACGAAGCCAUCACUGAAGAACAAAUCGAUUCAAGAAACAACAUUAAAUAGCCAAUAUUUUCGUUUUUUUUUUCAAAACCACAAUAGCCCAGCAGGGUAAGCAGGCUCAACUUGCAAGGGAAGCUAGCCGCCUAAAGCUAGAAAUCCUGGGACUGAGCGAAGUCCAUUGGCCGGGCACUGGCGAACACAUGACAUCAUUGGGACAGCAAUUACAAUUCAAUACGUCUUUUACUUGAUAACUGGUGAGAAUCCAGCGGUUUUUCGACGUUUCAGUACAGAGCUACGAUUGAUUGAAAAAAUUGCAGCCAGGUCGGGCAAGACGGACACAUUAAGAUGCCAACAAAAUACAUUCGUAAAAGUAAUCGGCAGUCAUGGACCACUCAGCAAUUGGAACAGGCCAUAAAGGCUGUUAAAAGUGGAUCACCAGUGAAAACAGCUGCGGAGAACUAUGCAGUUCCACGAACCUAGCUAAUUCGCCACCUGGCGGAGCCAGUUGUAUUAUCUCGAUUAGGACCACUUGAUUCCGCGUUCAAUCCCCAACAAGAAAAGGAGCUGGUACAGCAUCUACUGGAUUCGGAAAAGAGGUUCUAGGGAAUCACAAUAACCAACGUUCGAAAGCAUUUGAUUUGGCCGAUAAAAACGCAUUAAGGCACCCAUUCAACAAAUCUACCAAGAUGGUAGGAAGAGCUUGGCUAAGUAACUUUUUAAAACGAAAUCCCGAAUUGACUUUUCGUAAACCUGAAGCUACCUCUGCUGCCCGAGCAAGGGGCUUCAAUAAACCUUCUGUGUAUUCAUUUUACGAUUCACUGGAAGAAACGCUAAAGGAUCCUAAGUUUACGCCUGAUAGAAUUUUAAACGCCGAUGAGACUAGUGUUUGUACUGUUAGUUAUUGUUAUAUACGAAUUCGAGCGAAUAAAGAAGGGUUUUGACAGCAGUUAGGUUGCUUUCAGGUCAAAACGAGGUGAGCUGGUGGAAUAAAGAAAUUCGCUUGAAGUUCUCACUGUUCGUACCAGCAGUAAGUGUCAAUUUAACAUAUCUAAAACGAGAUGAACUGAAAAGCUGUAAACAAACCGUUUCGAAAGAUUUUAUUGUUGCCUCAUAUAAAAAUCUCCGGUUUAAUAUCAAAUAAUCGUCAUUUGCGGGAAUUGUAACUGUUCUCGCUCUAUUUAAAACGCAUCGGGAGUCAAAAAUAGUAGGAUUGUAUCCAAGACACAACCGCAUAACUGACGUAGAACUACGCACAUUAACAACAAAUGCAAAGUCUACUAUUGCUUGCUCAAAUCAAGAAUCUCUUCACUGCUUGUUAAGUUACCCUGAUGAGGGCAGCUUGCUGUUCAAAAUUAAAAGAUGAUGCUGAUCGCAGCCUUUGUUCUGCCCAACAGUGGGGGAAUAAGGCACUCUGACAAACACACACACUGAAAAAGCUGCAUCGCACGAAGAAGGCCGAAGCCCUCAACUGGCAAAUCGAGACGUGUGCUGCUUUCGCGCUGCUGCUGAUAUGUGACCAAUCAAGUAAGUGAUUCGUUUAAGCCGAAAGCAAAUCCGGAAAGCCAGCAGAUACUGGUGCAAACCGUUGCUGCUACUGCUACAACCCACUACGCUACGGCUAAUACAGGACCAAGCGUUCGUCCCAUCAUUCAAGGCACUCUGACAAUCACACUGCAAAAGCUGUUUGCACACUUAGUAAGUUGAUCCAGCAUAGAGAAUGUGUUGUUGCCAAAAUAAAGCAAAGCUUAAUCGUGGGGAAGAAGGCCGAAUCGACAAAUCGAAACGUUUGCUGCUAUCACGCUGAUUCGUUUAAGCCGAAAGCAUAUUCGGAAAGUCAGCUGCUACUGCCGCAAUCCGCUACGCUGCGACUAACUAGAUAUGCUAUUCUGUCGACCUCUUGAGGGAAAGCCAGCAAUCAAGGACGUAAUUUUAGUUUCCACAAGGCUUGACAAUUUUGGGCGCAUGCGUGUAUUAUUUUCUAAUCGAUUGCUGUAAGACUGAAAAAAAUCGGUUGAAAACAAACCGAUUUAUAAGGAUUUGAAAAGGGGCAAAUUUCGUCCCCUUCUCGUCAAUAGAUUUCCAAUUUCGUAGGUAGGCUAAAAAAAAACGUAGUUCCCAAAAACUUCGUAGACCCAGGAACGCAGUUAUACUGGAGUUGUCCGCCAAGCCAUUUUCAAGCGACUGCAUGCUAUGGGAAUGUAUCAAAAACAAGGCACUUGAGUUCCUUAUGACUUGAAGCCAAGAAAUGUUGAGCGUUGUUUUUCCACCUGUGAUCUACUGCUCCAGCGGUAAAAAAGGAAGGGGUUUCUUCAUCGUAUCGUGAAGGGUGAUGAAUAAUAGAUUCGUUACAGUAACCUAAAGAAAACAAAGUCUUGGGACUGCCCGGUUAUGCUUCUACGCCACCGAUUCGGCCGAAUAUACACGCUAUGAAUACUUUGUAUUUGGUAGGACCAGAUCAGUGUUAUUUAUUAUGAGCUAUUGAAAUAGAACGAAGCCAUCACUGAAGAACAAAUCGAUUCAAGAAACAACAUUAAAUAGCCAAUAUUUUCGUUUUUUUUUUCAAAACCACAAUAGCCCAGCAGGGUAAGCAGGCUCAACUUGCAAGGGAAGCUAGCCGCCUAAAGCUAGAAAUCCUGGGACUGAGCGAAGUCCAUUGGCCGGGCACUGGCGAACACAUGACAUCAUUGGGGAUCCAAAUGAUUAUGAAAUCUGGCUGGGAGACAUAAUCAUCAAUAGUCCUCCUCGCAUCAGCGGCAUCAAGACAGUUGAAAUAGACGACGAUGAUGAGAAUGAAUACAAUAGCCAAGAUUUGGCUGAUCUAGGCAUCACGCUACUGGCCGCUCCGUUGCAUAGAACCGCGCCGUUUAUAGUCAGAUCUGGAACCGCAAACGAAAAUCAUCUGCCAGGGCAUUCGCGGCGUCGUACAAGACGCGGAAAGAAAAGAAAAGCGGACUCACAAGGACAACGGCAAUUCACUUCGAAAGACAAUACAAUCCGAAAAGAAAUCACGCCAACAGCCGUCCCAUUGCAAAGAACCACGUCGUUCAUAAUCAGAUCGGGGACCGUAAAUGAAAAUCAACCGCCGGAGAAUUCGCGGCGUCGCGCAAGACGAGGAAAGAAAAGACGAGCGGUAAACCAGGAGCAUUUCACUUCGAAAAACAACGCUAUUCAAAAAGAAAUCACGCCAGAAGCCGUCCCAUUGCAAAGAACCACGUCGUUCAUAAUCAGAUCGGAAACCGUAAAUGAAAAUCAACCGCCGAGGAAUUCGCGGCAUCGCACAAGACGUGGAAAGAAAAGACGAGCGGAAAAGCAGGAGCAUUACAGUUCGAAAGACAAUACAAUCCAAAAAGAAGUAGAUGGUACUAACAAGAAACGUAAAAUGUGCCCAGAAGGGGCCGGAACAGGCAUCACGCCAAUAGCCGUCCCAUUGCAAAGGACUGCGUCCUUUAUAAUCAGAUCUGAUACCGUUAACGAAAAUCAAUCGUCGGGGGAUUCGCGGCGGCGCUCGAAAAAAUUAAUCGGAGUCGCGAGUUAACCAGGAGGUAGGGUCAAGUAUAAAGAGUAGCUAUCGUUGGUCUAUCAUCCAAUGAUUGUUAAGUUGAAAGGUUUCUAUAAACAGGAACAAAACUAAACUAAAAAUUAAAUGAAAUAAUUUCAUUCAAUGCCAUUUAAUGAUUGUUAUGUUUGAAGGUUUUUAUCAAGAGGAACAAAACUA
Wyeomyia smithii (pitcher-plant mosquito) is the source of this 12747-nucleotide RNA transcript. RefSeq lists it as uncharacterized. The record is from RefSeq and is a predicted model, not a curated record. The transcript is spliced from 7 exons. Lineage: Eukaryota; Metazoa; Arthropoda; Insecta; Diptera; Culicidae.